CCGCUCCGCAGCGCAGCGCAUGGAGCCCGGCGGGGACCACCGGAGCCGGAGCAGCGGCGGCAGGGGCGGCCCCGGGCCAGCAGUGGCCUCGGCACGGGGCCGACGGCUGCCGCCCGCCGGAUCGAGCGGCAGCGCGGAGCCAGAGGAAGACGAAGGCGGGCAAGAUCUUCAGCUGGAAGGGGGUGCCUUGGGGUCCUGGGGGAGUGCCCCCCUGCCCUCCUCCAGGGCCAGGGGACCAGCAUCUUCAGGCAGGAAAUAUUCAGACCACUGUGAGGCCCGGGCCUCGAGGCCUGGAAAGAGCCGCAUCCCUGGCCGUGACCACCGGCGCUACUACCACGACCACUGGCGGCUGGAGUACCUGAUGGACUUCAACCCUGCCCGGCACGGCAUGGUGUGCAUGGUGUGCGGCAGCUCCCUGGCCACCCUCAAGCUCAGCACCAUCAAGCGCCACAUCCGCCAAAAGCACCCCUACUCCUUGCAUUGGAGUCCCCGGGAGAAGGAAGUCAUCAGCAACAGCUGGGAUGCACACCUGGGGCUGGGGGCCUGCGGAGAGGCCGAGGGCCUGGGGGUCCAGGGGGCUGAGGAGGAGGAGGAGGAGGAAGAAGAGGAGGAGGAGGAGGGGGCCGGUGUCCCAGCUUGCCCGCCCAAGGGCCCAGGCAAAGCCCCAGCUGGUGGGGGCUGCCGGCGCCAGCGGCGAGGGGGCCCAGUGGCACCCCGGGCUCGGCGUCUGCGCCUCUCAGCCUCCCGGAGGGCCGGGGGCAGCAGGGGGCUGGGGGCCCGGCGCCUGGAGAGGAGGCUGAAGGAGUCCCUGCAGAACUGGUUCCGGGCCGAGUGUCUCAUGGACUAUGACCCGCGGGGGAACCGGCUGGUGUGCAUGGCCUGUGGCCGGGCACUGCCCAGCCUGCACCUGGACGACAUCCGUGCCCACGUGCUGGAGGUGCACCCUGGCUCCCUGGGGCUCAGCGGCCCCCAGCGCAGUGCCCUGCUGCAGGCCUGGGGGGGCCAGCCCGAGGCGCUGUCUGAGCUCACCCAGUCCCCACCAGGCGAUGACCUCGCCCCCCAGGACCUGACCGGAAAGAGCCGGGACUCGGCCUCCGCUGCUGGAGCCCCCUCCUCUCAGGAUCUCAGCCCCCCAGACGUAAAGGAAGAGGCUGGCUGGGUCCCUGAGAGGCCCGGGCCCGCAGAGGAGGAGGAGGAGCUGGAGGAGGGCGAGGGCGAGAGGGCGGGGGUCCCGGGCCGGUCGCCGCGGGGCCGCGCCCACCGCCGCCACCCCCAGGAGCGCUGGCGGCUGGAGUACCUCAUGGAGUUGGACGGCGGCCGGCGCGGCCUGGUGUGCGGGGUGUGCGGGGGCGCGCUGGCCUCGCUCAAGAUGAGCACCAUCGAGCGCCACAUCCGCCGGCGCCACCCGGGCUCCACGCGCCUCGGCGGGCCUGUCCAGGCCCUCAUCGCCCGGGAGUGGAGCGAGAAGGCCGCCCACCUGCUGGCCCUGGGGCCGCCCCGCCCCGAGUCCCCCCAGGGCCCCAUCCCCCCCGGCACUGCCGCAGCCUCCGACGAGGGGGGAGGGGACGAGGAGGAGGAGCCAGAGGAGGAGGAGGAGGAGUGGGGCGACGUUCCGCUGUCCCCUGGAGCUCCCUUGGAGCGGCCCGCCGAAGAAGAGGAGGACGAAGAGGACGGCCAGGAGCCUGGGGGACUCGCCUUGCCGCCGCCGCCUCCUCCCCCGCCUCCGCCCCCGCCCCGCAGCCGGGAGCAGCGGCGGAACUACCAGCCGCGGUGGCGGGGCGAGUACCUGAUGGACUACGACGGCAGCCGGCGCGGCCUGGUGUGUAUGGUGUGCGGGGGCGCGCUGGCCACGCUCAAGGUGAGCACCAUCAAGCGCCACAUCCUGCAGGUGCACCCCUUCUCCAUGGACUUCACGCCUGAGGAGCGCCAGACUAUCCUGGAGGCCUACGAGGAGGCGGCGCUGCGCUGCUACGGCCACGAGGGCUUCGGGCCGCCCGCCCCGGCGCCGCGUGACGGCGGCGCGGACCUCAAGUCUGGCGCUGUGUGUCGGGCGUAGCGGCCUAGCGGGCCCCCGGGUCAGGUCGGGUCGGGUCGGAUCGGCCCCGCCCCGCCCUGUGCUCGCCCGGCCCUUCGGCUGGGAGACCCUCGCGUCCGGUGUUAGCGCUUCCCGCGGCCGCGCCCCCCGCUGGCCGGGCCGGGCGGAGACGGGGGAUCGGGUGGGGCCACCGGCGUCUGCGCGGUGCCACUUGGGUCCCUGAGCCAGUCGGUGCGCUGCGGGAAGCGCACUCUCCCAUCGGCCCGGAGCCCUGCCCUCCCCGCGCAGGGCCCACGUUUUCCGAGAAUCCUCAGUGGCCUCCACGUGUUAGCGCCGAGCGCUCCCGGCCGCACCCCGCGAGGGGGUUCUCCGCAGGCCGGGACUGGGGGCGCCGUCAGUCAGUAUUAGGGCCGAAGGGGGGCCGUGCGGGCUCUGGCUCUGGCCCUGGCUGGGGGCCCAGUUCCCUGCAGCCUUGCACGCUGGCAGGCACGGCUCCCGGCUUGGGGGCUGCUGGCUGCCCUUCCCUAAUUGGGAUUCUCGGCCUCUCGGAGGCCCCGGCUGCGGACUGGGGCUUCCAGCGGGAGGCUGGGCCGCAGGGCUCGGGAGCCUUCCCGGGGUGGGAAGGCGCGUUGGACCGAGGGCGGGGCUACGCGCCCGGGGCCCGGGCUGGACCAGCUGCGCUUACCUCCCCGGCAGGCUCAGUGAGAACCGUGCGCCCGGCGGCCCCACUCUCCUCCCAGGCCGCUGCCACGCCCUCCAGGAAAGCUCUUGUAAAGGGAUUAGCACUUUUUUCCUUUGCUCCUCUUGCCCCGAGGGUCUCUGCUUACCCCUAAACCAAGUCCGUGGGAGCCCGGGGCACAGGCGGUCCCGGCAGUCAGCCUUCGAUUCCCGCCCCAUCCCCAUCCCCCUUUGUCCGCGGUGGAUGCGGCGUCCGUUCUCAACCCGCAGGGCCUGGGGCCGGGCCUCGGCCUCUUUUCCCCGUGGCAGCCGCAGGCCCUGUGUGGCAGGGAUGGGGCCCCGCGAUCUCCCAGGCAGGUCCGAGAGGGAUGUGUAGAUUCAUUCUCCUGUGGAGAACAGGUGGCCCCGAGAUCAGGCCCUUUUUUGCUCUUUGUAUUUUAUUUUGAAACUGUAUUUAAUGCUUUUAUAUGAAAGGGGGAGGGGCGGGGACAGAGCUGACCCAGUCACCCUUAUGUGCAAAUGUCUUAUUUAUUAUGCGUGUAUCAGAGAUAAGCUGUGAGGUGGUGGAGGGAGGACCUGAAGGAAGGAGGAGCGAGGGCAGAGGCGGGGACGGGAGGACCCCAACUAGCUGUGCUGAUGUUAAUCCCGCUGGGAGACUCCGGGCCCUACUGUCUGCUCUUCACAAAGCCAGGCUGCUGCAGGAACAGUUCCCGCGGUCCUAAAGCCGGGGCGGGGAGGCUAGUGGGUGGAACUUGAGGGUUGGGUCUGGAGGAAGAGAUGCCUGGGCAGCGUGGUCCAGCCCCUGCCUCGGGGUGGAAAGGCAGAGAGCAAAGAGGAGGCCCCUCUUAUUCCGGACCCCCAGGCCAGAGCCCAGGAGUGGGAAAGCAGAGGGCAAAGAGGAGGCCCCUCCUCUCAUCCCUGACCCCCAGGCCAGAGCCUAAGGUUCAAGUGCCUCAGGCCCAGUCCCCUUGACGCUUCCUGUUUGGGAGUUGGAUUUUAUACCACGGAUUUUAUAGCAUUUUUAUAUAAUUGAGGAUUGUCAGAAUUGGAAAGGGCCCUGGAGAUCACUAGUACUACCCUCCUCACCUUCACAGAUAGGUAAAUUGGAGCCCAGGAACCGAGAUGAUCACACAGCCAGGUAGGGACAGUACAAGAACUAGAAUGAAAAUCCUAGCUCCUGACUCAGUGUUCUUUGCACGAUGCCACACUGCUUCCCAAUUCGCUGGUCAGUUAUUAAAAUUUGUCAGGCCUGCCGAAGGAUUGACAUGCUGGGCAAUGCAGGCCACCACGGUGGAUCUGUGACUCCUGAAGGUGGCAAAGCCCUGCACACUGCCUUGGGAUGAGCACACUGAGCUCUGCAGGGCCUCAGCUGGAAGGCGCCAUCCAAUCGUCCUUCCCCUCCCCAGCAGAACUCCAGAGGUGGGGCGGCUGCCGCAGGGCCCAAGGCUGCCUCGGCAGGGGGCUUUGUGCUUUUUGUUGUGGAGGCCACCAGGGAUUCAGGAAGAUCCUGAAUGGGUUGUCAAUUGACUGAAAAGUAAAUUCCCAGUGAGUUUGAACCUCCACGGUUUUUGAGACAGUAUUAAAAGCUUGAGAACGGAGAUUAUGGAUGGCACCAGGCUGGGCACUGCCAUUCUUUUACUUUCCUUCAUGCAUUUUUUCGGAUCCAGAGUAUUAACACCACUUUUUUUACUCUGCCCAUUCAAAAACAGUAGGCAAAUUGGGGGAACCAAUUUAUAAUCACUCAAGCCCACUGCCAAAGUUCGGAUAAGCCAGGGCAGAGGGGUUAGAUUCCCCCCCCUCCGUAGGCAGAGAGAGGCCUCAGGAGAGUGGACAUCUUUACUGAGACAGCCCCAAACACACCAGUGGCUCUCAAAGUGUGUCCCUGAGACCAGCAGCAUCACCUUAGGAAUCUGCUAGAAAUAAAAAUUCUUGGGCCAUACCCCAGGGUUACUGAAUCAGAAACUUGGUUGGGGCCUAGCAGUGUUUUCAUGAGCCCUCCAUUGAUCUUGAUGCAGCUGAAGUGCCGGGCACCAGUGAAAGGGAAGGGCUGCGGUAGUGAUUCCAUUGAUUCCUGCUUUGAUGGAAGUUAUGGCCUCACAGGUUAGACGUUGCAAGUUGAGUUGGCCCUCUUGCCUAGGUGUGCCUCCUUGCCUUGGGAUUCUGACAUGAACAGGUGAAGUCUCUUCAUGAUUUUUUUUGUUGUUGUUGUUAAUGGUAUGCUUGCUAUUAUGGCCAAUAUGUAAAUGUUACUCUGAAUACAUAUUUAUAUACCAUGUUACUUAGUGACAUUAUUCAAACAUUUGUAUGCGUAUUUGUGAAAUUGUUUGCAUCAGUCAUUUAAAAAAUAUUUCAGCCUAAGUUUUCUAAGAGGUAUGUUGAAUACAUUUUUAAAAGCCAGCUUAAGGGUCACAGCAGCCUUAGUUUAGGAGAAGAGCUAAUCACAGGUGACCACUCAAGUUCUUUCAAUGAAGACCUGAUGAUGUAUUUAGUUCCCAUUUUCCACGGUGAUUGACUCAAUUUAAGUGUAUUGUGGCUAUAUGUAAUUUACAGGCUGCUUUGCGUUGCAGGUGGGAAAAUCUCCCAGGCUGGUGUGAGGCUGAACUGGGGUAAAAGACCCCCUGACCCCUCCUCAUUCUUCUAAGGUCACCACCUCUUAGAGGGUCUCUUAUUUUCUUUCAGAGAUCAAAUGCACAGUUAUGCUGUACAACUAAAUUCUGCAGUCUUGGGAAUCCUUACGAGUACCAACUAUUAGUCACUUUUUAAAGUCCCCAAAGUGGAGUGAGGAUAGGGGGAGUGGAAGCAGUGUUUGGUUCUUACUUUACCCAAACUGUGUAUAAAGAAUAAAGUUAGCAGAAUGAUGCCACAGUCA
Molecule: long non-coding RNA, 5582 nt
Filed under: Homo sapiens (human)
Lineage: Eukaryota; Metazoa; Chordata; Mammalia; Primates; Hominidae
Description: non-protein coding lnc-C11orf95-1:16
Source: RNAcentral